Molecule: long non-coding RNA, 1869 nt
Organism: Beta vulgaris subsp. vulgaris (sugar beet)
Lineage: Eukaryota; Viridiplantae; Streptophyta; Magnoliopsida; Caryophyllales; Amaranthaceae
Exons: 2
Source: RefSeq, a predicted model, not a curated record
AAUUUGAAGGAUUUGUUGAGGUAUUUGCGCCGUGAUGAUCCGUCGACUAGGGAAUAGGGAUGAAGAUCUGUUUAUAUCCCCUUUUCUUUUCUGAUUACGGCUGGAGUGUCGCUCGCCGGAUAUUGCUGACCGCCGCCUGCGGAGGCCGGUCGCUACUAACCCAGAACGACAGAACGCCAGUCGCCAGAUGCCCAAAACAGCAGAACCCUACCGGUUGAGGGUUGGCGGUCUUCAGAAGAGUCCUCCACGUAGUGGCUUAGCGUCCGCUGGUGAAUAACUACACAGAAAGGAAACGUAAACUACCAUUGGAGCAGAUGCGAGGAAAUCUCCUCCGACGCUCAAGUCAGCACGUGCCCACGAGGAGUUUUAAGAGGGAGAAAGUAUAGAGUGAGAUAAGCUAUCUUAAGUGUGUAAAUGUACUUGCAUAAAUGGUACUGGUGGGCUAUUUAUAGAAGUAUUGUUUCCUCUGACAAGACGUGUAAUCCUUCGACAUGUGUAUAACUAUGAGGUACCUGAUAGAGGGGAAAAUUCCUCUAUUUUGUCUUGUGAGAUGGCGCCAACAACGUUGUCGGACCACAUUAGUGAACUCACUUUUAGAAUUGUAGAUGAUGUUUGUACAUUCGCUUCCUUUAUGGUGUUCGCCAAUGCACUUGGGUGAUACCCAUACACUUAUCAUCAUCAUAAUAAUAUUUUUGCGGUCUUCCUGAUUCCCACUUCGUCAAACUGUAUAGCGUGAUAUAUUCAGGCACUAUAUCCACAAAUGAACAAAAAAAUUUAUGACAUCAACUUAGAUUUUCCUUACAAAAGUCAAGAUCACAUAUUCACAUGCAAUUCUUAACUUGUAGAACUUGCCAAGAAGACAAAAGAACAAAAAGAAAAAGAAAAAAACUCAAAAUGCACAAUGUAUGAAACUAGAUUAUGUACAAUAUACCUCGUCAUUUGUCAAAAUAAAGUUAAUCAAAUAGAUGAAAAGAUAUAAAUAAGUUACAUUCUUUAUAUUGCAUUCCAGAUGCUAAUGAGUCUAUAUGUACUUUAUUGUAUAUUUGUAUGUAUCCUUAAGAUACGGGAAGGAUUAGCCUAAAGAUUGAAAAUUUGUAGUCAUGAAGAUAACUAAGGAUCAACAUAUGAAAGCUCCUUUGAGUUGUCUUCAUGUACUAGUGUUAACUCUUUGAUAGAGUAUAAAACUAUUCUUGAGAUUACAACCAUUAGCUUAAACUUUUGGUUGAGUUGGUCCUUUGAUAUGAUACCAGAGCCAGUGUGAUAUUGAGCGCCAGAUAUGAGGGAGGCUUGUGUUACAAUGAGCACUUGCGUGAGGAGGUUUGAUAGAGUAUAAAACUAUUCCUAGGACUCCAACCAUCAGCUUAAAUUUUUGAUACUCUUUUUUCGUAAGUUUAACCAAAUUCUUCAUGUAGUGUCAACUCAUGAUAUAGAUUGCACUAUAUUAAACUUAUAAUAUAAAAUCCAUAACAAAAAAUUGAGAACUCCUAUUUUUAGUUUCAUGUAUUUUGUUCUUUAUUUAACAAAACCUGAAAAUGUAAAACAAUUACAGAUAGUCCCACACUUAUGUUUACGAUAGGUUAAGGGAUAAUUUUUACUAUACUUUUUUAAGGUCUUUGCCUCAAUUGCUAUAUAAACUCCAAUCCUCACAUGUAACUUGUGGUGGAUUUAGGAUUAUACGGAUGGUGAAUCACACCACCUACCACAUUACAAGUUUACAACCAAUAACCAAUUUUUAUAAAAAAGAAAUUUACAAAAAAAUUCAUUUCAAAUUAAAAGUAAAAAAUAUCCAUAACAACACCAAUUAGUACUUACAAUUGUUCAUGAUGACUUUUCAUGUCCUGAUACCAUUUAUAAUAUCAUUCGUGCAAA